UGUUUGUGCAGAGUAAAGGAGCGAAGGAGAAGGUGGUGACGAGGAUCGUGGUCUCUCGCUGUGAAGUCGACCUGAUGAAAAUCCGCUCAGAGUUCAAGAAGAAGCACAAGAGAAAUCUGUACCAGACCAUCGCUGAGCACACUAAAGGAGACUACCAGAAGGCUCUGCUGAGUCUGUGCGGAGGAGACGACUGAGCUCUGAGUGGACUCUGUUUCCCAGAAGGCCGCUGGGUCUUAAAACAUCAGCUAACUGCAGAUUUGUUUUAACUCUGUCCAUGAGAGCCUUUUUGUUGUUUCUUCUCUGUUAAACAGAUCACCUCCAUCUCUCUGAGCAGCUUCAGCUUUUAAAUAAAAUCGUUUCACC
This is a long non-coding RNA of Gymnodraco acuticeps, 363 nucleotides long. RefSeq lists it as uncharacterized. The transcript is spliced from 2 exons. NCBI's taxonomy places the organism in Eukaryota, Metazoa, Chordata, Actinopteri, Perciformes, Bathydraconidae. The record is from RefSeq and is a predicted model, not a curated record.